RNAcentral lists this ribosomal RNA (234 nucleotides) under uncultured Actinomycetales bacterium. RNAcentral's name for it is "partial 16S ribosomal RNA". It matches the Rfam family "Bacterial small subunit ribosomal RNA", at positions 97 to 334 of the family's 1533-position model. The record is from RNAcentral. Lineage: Bacteria; Bacillati; Actinomycetota; Actinomycetes; Actinomycetales.
GGCGAACGGGUGAGUAACACGUGGGUGAUCUGCCCUGCACUUCGGGAUAAGCCUGGGAAACUGGGUCUAAUACCGGAUAGGAGCCAUUUUUAGUGUGAUGGUUGGAAAGUGUUUUCGGUGUAGGAUGAGCUCGCGGCCUAUCAGCUUGUUGGUGGGGUAAUGGCCUACCAAGGCGGCGACGGGUAGCCGGCCUGAGAGGGUGGACGGCCACAUUGGGACUGAGAUACGGCCCAG